RNAcentral lists this ribosomal RNA (767 nucleotides) under Levilactobacillus brevis. RNAcentral's name for it is "bacterial SSU rRNA". It matches the Rfam family "Bacterial small subunit ribosomal RNA", at positions 34 to 791 of the family's 1533-position model. The record is from RNAcentral. Lineage: Bacteria; Bacillati; Bacillota; Bacilli; Lactobacillales; Lactobacillaceae.
UGCAGUCGACGAGCUUCCGUUGAUGACGUGCUUGCACUGAUUUUAACAAUGAAGCGAGUGGCGAACUGGUGAGUAACACGUGGGAAAUCUGCCCAGAAGCAGGGGAUAACACUUGGAAACAGGUGCUAAUACCGUAUAACAACAAAAUCCGCAUGGAUUUUGUUUGAAAGGUGGCUUCGGCUAUCACUUCUGGAUGAUCCCGCGGCGUAUUAGUUAGUUGGUGAGGUAAAGGCCCACCAAGACGAUGAUACGUAGCCGACCUGAGAGGGUAAUCGGCCACAUUGGGACUGAGACACGGCCCAAACUCCUACGGGAGGCAGCAGUAGGGAAUCUUCCACAAUGGACGAAAGUCUGAUGGAGCAAUGCCGCGUGAGUGAAGAAGGGUUUCGGCUCGUAAAACUCUGUUGUUAAAGAAGAACACCUUUGAGAGUAACUGUUCAAGGGUUGACGGUAUUUAACCAGAAAGCCACGGCUAACUACGUGCCAGCAGCCGCGGUAAUACGUAGGUGGCAAGCGUUGUCCGGAUUUAUUGGGCGUAAAGCGAGUGCAGGCGGUUUUUUAAGUCUGAUGUGAAAGCCUUCGGCUUAACCGGAGAAGUGCAUCGGAAACUGGGAGACUUGAGUGCAGAAGAGGACAGUGGAACUCCAUGUGUAGCGGUGGAAUGCGUAGAUAUAUGGAAGAACACCAGUGGCGAAAGCGGCUGUCUAGUCUGUAACUGACGCUGAGGCUCGAAAGCAUGGGUAGCGAACAGGAUUAGAUACCCUGGU